GGGGAAAGCAGGGGACCUUCGGGCCCUGCGCUAUCAGAUGAGCCUGGUCGGAUUAGCUAGUUGGUGAGGUAAUGGCUCACCAAGGCGACGAUCCGUAACUGGUGUGAGAGGAUGAUCAGUCACACUGGAAGUGAGACACGGUCCAGACUCCUACGGGAGGCAGCAGUGGGGAAUAUUGGACAAUGGGCGAAAGCCUGAUCCAGCCAUGCCGCGUGUGUGAAGAAGGUCUUCGGAUUGUAAAGCACUUUAAGUUGGGAGGAAGGGCAUUAACCUAAUACGUUAGUGUUUUGACGUUACCGACAGAAUAAGCACCGGCUAACUCUGUGCCAGCAGCCGCGGUAAUACAGAGGGUGCAAGCGUUAAUCGGAAUUACUGGGCGUAAAGCGCGCGUAGGUGGUUUGUUAAGUUGGAUGUGAAAUCCCCGGGCUCAACCUGGGAACUGCAUUCAAAACUGACUGACUAGAGUAUGGUAGAGGGUGGUGGAAUUUCCUGUGUAGCGGUGAAAUGCGUAGAUAUAGGAAGGAACACCAGUGGCGAAGGCGACCACCUGGACUAAUACUGACACUGAGGUGCGAAAGCGUGGGGAGCAAACUAGGAUUAGAUACCCGUGGUAGUCCACGCCGUAGGACUGAUGUUCAUAAAGGGGGAGGGC
RNAcentral lists this ribosomal RNA (652 nucleotides) under Pseudomonas fluorescens. RNAcentral describes it as "bacterial SSU rRNA". It matches the Rfam family "Bacterial small subunit ribosomal RNA", at positions 199 to 829 of the family's 1533-position model. The record is from RNAcentral. Lineage: Bacteria; Pseudomonadati; Pseudomonadota; Gammaproteobacteria; Pseudomonadales; Pseudomonadaceae.